Molecule: long non-coding RNA, 2129 nt
Organism: Heterocephalus glaber (naked mole-rat)
Lineage: Eukaryota; Metazoa; Chordata; Mammalia; Rodentia; Bathyergidae
Source: Ensembl
CAGGACCAGCGCAGACGGAAACAGAAAGCAGCAACUGCAGGCUAAGCGCGCUUUACUGAGCAUAUACAACAGCACACAGGAAGCAAAGAACCCCGUCCAUUCAAAUGAAGGGCUAACUGGGGAAGCGGCUGCCUGAUUUCGCAUCCUGCACCCAUGAUAGGAAAGAAGUUCUCAGGGUGUGUGUGGGCGGCACAGGGAGUGUCGCCUGGGGCUCGGGGUCCCCUUCUGCAAUGGAAGUAACAUCCACGGUAUCACCUGGAACCAACUCUUCCCGGGAUGCACAGCCCUGAGCCGCAAUGUUUUGGUCAACAACGGAACAGACGGAUGACUUUGCAGCCGCCGCAGUUUGUGUAAGGACAGGCCCCGGGUCUGCACCACGAUGAAACUGCCACUCCUCAGAGAGCGUCCUGCUCCUCCAGCACCGCGAGGGCUGACUGAACUGGAGUGGUCGGGGCGCUGCUCACCGGGUGUGCCGUACAGGCUGCUCCAUGCCUUCGUGCCUUUUCUUGGUCCACACAGCAAGCUGCAACCCAGAGCGACUGACGGCAAUGAAAGAAAUGAUCAUGAAACACAUGGGGUCCGCCCAUGUUCACAUCUUUUCUUCUUACACAUGACUUCGCUGGGAGCUCGCGUGCAGCAGAUAUUCCCAAAGCACUGACCGGAAGCUGGCACUCUUAGCUCCUGAGGCCACUUUCCGUUCACACUCCUCAUUUCACAGAACCCGCUCAUGCAGGGUUACUUGGGCCUGGCACCAGGACAUGGAUGGAGGAGCCGGCCUGGGUCUUCUGGAAAAGUGUUUCAUGGUUCUCAGACAUUUCCCUAAGUCUGCCUGAGAGAUCUUCUCUCUAAUACAGGAGCAAAGCAGUGAUAAGGGUCAGGCAGAAGGGAGGGAACUAGAACCCCAACAUUCACUAGCCUGGGUCAUCAGGACAAGAGACAUCCUUGUCAGAUUUCUGCUUCCAGUGCUACGUGAGAGGCUUUGAAAUAAUGGAGUCAGAGGCAGUUCUAGGCUCCUUUUUUGGGCAACUUGGGGUCCAACAUUACCGGCUGUCACCUGCCAUCCUGGUGGGCAGAACAGAGGGCGGGCCUCUGUUGACCACGCCUAGAAGGACACUACAAAUGUUUUGUCCCACGGGUGAGCAAGAAAAUAGAGCAGGAAGAGCAGGAAAUCACUGUCCCCACACGGCUGCGCUGUCUACUGUGAAGGGCUGAACGCGUUCCCGGGUCACCAGACGACAGCCACUUGGAGCUGCUUCCAUCCCUUGUGAAGCCAAGCUCAUCUACCAAGCACCUCCCAGCUUCUGUGAGCACCAUGCACCUUCCUUGGACUGGAAAAUGAUUUGGAAAAGGGGGACUGGCUCUUCCACUAAUACGUCCUUGAUCAGGAAGGGUCUGGUGUGUUAGCCCUGAACCAGCAACCCAGUUUAAUUCCUUACUUUAUUUGUUUAAAAAUGGAACUUGUAGCAAAAGUGGACAUGCUGUCCAGAAAAGAGCAAUAAGAAAAUAAUUGUCACUUUAUGGUACAAGUCACGCUGAUGGCAGGCAGUGAAUUUAGGGUUAGGGCUACUGGGGAAGGCCGCUUCUCUGUAGAUAACAAAUUAGCAUCUGAUUUAGAGACAUUUUCUUUAAAUCAUCUAGUUGGUUUUCCUUGCCAGACCCUGUACUUUGGGUAUUCUUUUUAUUUAUUUUUAUUUAAGUUCUAUCAUUUGACCUGAAGAGAAUGAUACUCUACGAACAAGUAUGGCUUCCUUGGGACUCUUUCUGAGUUGCUUUAUUUAUAUAACACUGCAUUUAUUUAUUUACUUAUCCUGCUGGAGGUUGAACCCAGGGCUUCACAGUGAGCUAUAUCCUCUGUCAUUUUUAUCAUUUUUAAAUUUUGAGACAGAGUCUUGCUAGGUUGUCAAAUUGCCCGGGCUCAAUUUUUGAGCCUUUGUGAUCUUCCUAUUAUCUUUCUUUUUAAAGGAAGAAUUUCCAAGUUUGUUAUAAGAUGAGAGGUAGUGAUUGGAAUCCACUGUGAGCCACUGGUUGGCAUUUCCCAGGUUUGAUGCAUUUCGGUCUGACCCGUUAUCCACCACGAGUCCAUGUCAAAACAGUCACAGAACCCUGUGCUCCACACCCUUCUGCUUCAG